AGCCCUAUUGCAAAGGUUGGAGAGAGCAAACCGGAUUCAUAGCCCCAUCAAACAAAGAAGGGCGUGCCAACUAAAACAAAGAGGAAACGGCCACAAUCGCUUAUGCAGAAAAGCGAACACAUUCACUAAAUUGAAAACGCUUAUGCAAAACAAAAAAAGGUCAGGAUUGCGUCUGUCGUCGUCACUUCCGCUCGCGUUUUGGAAUUCAGAAUCACACGUUUUGGAUCAACAUCGUUGUGGAGCAUUGCAUUUCAGGAUUCAUCGUUCAUGAUUCUCGUUUGUGCGUUCUGAUUGGAGCAUCGCGUACUCAAUGAUUCGAGGGUUCAACAACAACUAACAAAUUGUGGAUUGAAUUGAAUACUCACCGGUUUCAACGCAGGGGCGAAAACAGGUAAUCAAGCAAGGCAUAACCCAAGCUAGUGGAAAUCAACAUGGUGAAGAUGAUGGAUGAAGAAAGAUGAAGAUGAACUUUUAGGAUUGUUAGAUGGUGUUGACUUUGGUCAAAUGUUGACCAAAAAAUCAACAUUUGACUAAAAGUCAACAAUUGACUAAAAGUCAACAAUUGACUAAAAGUCAACAUUACAAGAAUGUUCAAUUUUGUAAACAUGCUUAUGGACAGUGUACAUUGUGAUUUGAAUGAAAUAUAAUGAAUGGUGAAAAGUUAACUUAUUAAA
Lathyrus oleraceus (garden pea) is the source of this 674-nucleotide long non-coding RNA. RefSeq lists it as uncharacterized. Lineage: Eukaryota; Viridiplantae; Streptophyta; Magnoliopsida; Fabales; Fabaceae. The record is from RefSeq and is a predicted model, not a curated record. The transcript is spliced from 2 exons.